GUAAAUGUUAAACAGAGUUUGCCGUAUAUGGCAGUUGUGGCCUAAUGGUUAGAGAGUCUGACUUGUAACCCUAAGGUUGUGGGUUUGAGUCUCAGGUCCGGCAGGGAUUGUUGGUGGGGGGAGUGAAUUACCAGUGCUCUCACCACCCUCAAUACCACGACUGAAGUGAAACCCUUGAGCAAGGCACCGAACCCCCAACUGCUCCCCGGGCACCACAGCGUGUGUGUGUGUGCACUUGGAUGGGUUAAAUGCAGAGCACAAAUUAAUGUCAUGUCCUUUCCUUUCUUUUCCUGUAAAAACAUUUGGUGUUAUAGAAUUGUUAUUUUUUUAUUUUUAUUUUUUUUAUUGUUUUCCCCUAAAAUAUAUUGUCUUCUUGAUCCUCACUCUUAUUCUGUUAGGUACCUUGAGAAUGGAUGGAGAAAAAGAAAAAGAGCGGGAGAGAGGAGAUGAAAAAGAGAGUGAUGAGACAGAGGAGGAUGCAGAGGGGGCAGCCUUAUUAUGGCAAGAGGGAUACCCUGAUGAUGACCUGGGCUUACCCAUCAUGCACUGGGAGGAUCUGAGUCUCCGUAUUGCUGAACUUGAGAAGCAACAAGAGGAGCGAAGACAGAGGGAAAAGGACUUAGACAGGUUGACAGUAGACUGGCCAGAAAUCAGAGGGCUGAGCAGUCACAGAGAAACCUAUGAGGACAUGGAGGACGAUUGCAACAGUCGUCUGACUGCUCUGACAACAAGGCUUCAGAGCCAGAUGAAUCUACAGCUUUGCUUCAUCAACAACAGUGAAAGUGAAGAGGAAGAAGAGGAAAUGGAGGCAAAGGUAAAAAACGAGGUGGCAAAACAGUCCAGUAAGAGUGGCAGCAAUCAGAGGUUAGAGAAAGAACGUGGUUCAAGCUCUGCAUCGACUAAGAAAACCAAAUCAAGAGGGUUCAAGAAUGAUGUCAGAGCUGCACUGAGUGUACUCAGACAUAAAUUGAGAUUGGAGCACAAACAGACUAUACCUCCCAGUGAGGCUGUCAGAGAAAGGAAGCACUAUGAACGAAAUGACUUGAAGAAUUUCAGCUUGAAGGAGUUGAAAGCGCUGAGGACCUCACUAAGCAAAGACAUUCAUGACCUCAGUUCAGAGCUGGUGGGUCGACUUCUCACAAGGGACCAGCUGAGAACAGAGCAAGACGCCAUGCUGCUGGAGGUACAAGAUAUGACAUCACUCUGACGCGCAGUCAAAAAAAAAAAAGUAUUUCCACUAAGGAACAAAAUGAAGGGACCCUUCCUUUACAAGACUGUCCGUGAGCUGCCUGAACUAAUUGACUUUACUGUGAAAAGCUACAGCACUCCAUCAUCACUUGAAAAAGACUUUUUCAUUGUAGAAUUUUUCUUGACAUUUUUAAGGCACCGAUGAGGAUUUAAAACUGCAGUUUACACUCUUACAGUUGCAAGAUCUAACUGAUAAAGCAACAAAGCGGUACAGUAUGUCAUGACAUGCUCUUUUGCUCAAUAUUACUCUUAAUUUGUUUAGUGCCAAAGCCAAUUAUGCCAAGCCUCACAUGUUAAGACAUGGCUCAUUAAAUGCUAUGUGUGUGUACAUACAUUGCCAAGCAACUCAUAACUGGAUUGUUUGUGUCACUGUUUGUGAAAUACUUCAAUAUUAUUUUGUGGAAUAAAAG
This is a long non-coding RNA of Sinocyclocheilus anshuiensis, 1658 nucleotides long. Lineage: Eukaryota; Metazoa; Chordata; Actinopteri; Cypriniformes; Cyprinidae. The record is from Ensembl.